UCGGGACUCUGGUAAUUCUGGAUGGUGUCCUGAUGCAAGGAACCGUUCUCGUUGUAACUCCUUUUGGCGUCGUUGACGUAGGUGGACCCGUAAGAACGUCCGUUUACUUUCGUCUUGCUUCCUAAACAAGAAACAAUUAUUCAAACACGCAACAACCUUCUCAACCAUAGACAGUCCUUUGGACUCCAAAUUCAUAAAACCAAUGACGAUCAGGGUGUGUAUUGUUAAAGGAAACACUAGUAAGCGGAACCUUUUCCUUGCGUCAAGGGAAAUUAACAUUGAAACCGAGAAAAAGUAUAAACUAUAAUUUGUAGACCUAACCCAGGCCUAAUCCAAUUUGAAGAUGAAAUGGAAAUGAAGGAUGAUUAACACUAAAGCAUCUAUUACACAGGUGAAAUCUGCCUCCGCACCAUUGUAAUUGUAAUUGGAUGAUGUGGAUCUGUCAUCUGCAGCCUCGAUGAAAGGGUCCAGCUUGAAGUCGAGCAGCCAGGACAAGUUGCCAGUUUCCUGAUCGUCGAAUUGCUGCUGAUACUGGUUACUAGAGGAUGGUG
Long non-coding RNA from Hylaeus anthracinus, 551 nucleotides. RefSeq lists it as uncharacterized. Lineage: Eukaryota; Metazoa; Arthropoda; Insecta; Hymenoptera; Colletidae. The transcript has 3 exons. The record is from RefSeq and is a predicted model, not a curated record.